GAAUUAUCCUUUAUUAAGCCGCUAACUUAAUCAAUAACACAUAAAAAUGUUAAUAAUUCU
Molecule: transfer RNA, 60 nt
Filed under: Tropostreptus sigmatospinus
Lineage: Eukaryota; Metazoa; Arthropoda; Diplopoda; Spirostreptida; Spirostreptidae
Description: tRNA-Ser
Source: RNAcentral